AGUGAACGCUGGCGGUAGGCCUAACACAGGCAAGUCGAACGGCAGCACAGUAAGAUCUUGCGCUUACGGGUGGCGAGUGGCGGAGGGGUGAGGAAUACAUCGGAAUCUACUUUUUCGUGGGGGAUAACGUAGGGAAACUUACGCUAAUACCGCAUACGACCUACGGGUGAAAGCAGGGGAUCUUCGGACCUUGCGCGAUUGAAUGAGCCGAUGUCGGGUUAGCUAGUUGGCGGGGUAAAGGCCCACCAAGGCGACGAUCCGUAGCUGGACUGAGAGGAUGAUCAGCCACACUGGAACUGAGACACGGUCCAGACGCCUGCGGGAGGCAGCAGUGGGGAAUAUUGGACAAUGGGCGCAAGCCUGAUCCAGCCAUACCGCGUGGGUGAAGAAGGCCUUCGGGUUGUAAAGACCUUUUGUUGGGAAAGAAAAGCAGCAGGUUAAUACCCAGCUGUUCUGACGGUAACCAAAGAAUAAGCACCGGCUAACUUCGUG
This 492-nucleotide ribosomal RNA is filed under the name uncultured bacterium. RNAcentral's name for it is "partial 16S ribosomal RNA". It matches the Rfam family "Bacterial small subunit ribosomal RNA", at positions 29 to 507 of the family's 1533-position model. The record is from RNAcentral.